GCCCGCAUGGCUUAGUGGUACAGCGUCGCACUCGUAAAAUACGGUAAUGCGAAGAUCCCUGGUUCGAUUCCGGGUGUGGGCA
Diplodia corticola is the source of this 82-nucleotide non-coding RNA. The record is from Rfam. NCBI's taxonomy places the organism in Eukaryota, Fungi, Ascomycota, Dothideomycetes, Botryosphaeriales, Botryosphaeriaceae.